Molecule: ribosomal RNA, 253 nt
Filed under: uncultured bacterium
Lineage: Bacteria
Description: partial 16S ribosomal RNA
Rfam family: Bacterial small subunit ribosomal RNA
Source: RNAcentral
UACGUAGGGGGCGAGCGUUGUCCGGAUUUAUUGGGCGUAAAGAGCGUGUAGGCGGUUCGGUAAGUCUGUCGUGAAAUCCCGAGGCUCAACCUCGGAACUGCCUUUGAUACUGCAAAUCUCGAGUCCGGAAGAGGUGAGUGGAAUUCCUAGUGUAGAGGUGAAAUUCGUAGAUAUUAGGAAGAACACCAGUGGCGAAGGCGGCUCACUGGUCCGGUACUGACGCUGAGGUGCGAAAGCGUGGGGAGCAAACAGG